Molecule: ribosomal RNA, 497 nt
Filed under: uncultured bacterium
Lineage: Bacteria
Description: partial 16S ribosomal RNA
Rfam family: Bacterial small subunit ribosomal RNA
Source: RNAcentral
GAUGAACGCUGGCGGCGUGCCUAAUACAUGCAAGUCGAGCGAACGGACGAGAAGCUUGCUUUUCUGAUGUUAGCGGCGGACGGGUGAGUAACACGUGGAUAACCUACCUAUAAGACUGGGAUAACUUCGGGAAACCGGAGCUAAUACCGGAUAAUAUUUUGAACCGCAUGGUUCAAAAGUGAAAGACGGUCUUGCUGUCACUUGUAGAUGGAUCCGCGCUGCAUUAGCUAGUUGGUAAGGUAACGGCUUACCAAGGCAACGAUGCAUAGCCGACCUGAGAGGGUGAUCAGCCACACUGGAACUGAGACACGGUCCAGACUCCUACGGGAGGCAGCAGUAGGGAAUCUUCCGCAAUGGGCGAAAGCCUGACGGAGCAACGCCGCGUGAGUGAUGAAGGUCUUCGGAUCGUAAAACUCUGUUAUUAGGGAAGAACAGAUGUGUAAGUAACUGUGCACAUCUUGACGGUACCUAAUCAGAAAGCCACGGCUAACUACGUG